This 269-nucleotide long non-coding RNA is filed under the name Glycine max (soybean). RNAcentral's name for it is "long non-coding RNA (GMAX_LNC003126)". The record is from RNAcentral. Lineage: Eukaryota; Viridiplantae; Streptophyta; Magnoliopsida; Fabales; Fabaceae.
GCAGCCCGUGGGCCGUGAUCGAGCCACUUUCUGCCUCAAGGUCUUUUCAUAAUCAUGUUCGGCUUGAAUCCACACUAGUGCAGUAUUUCAUACAGCUUAAGAUAUUUUACCACUGAUCAAAUUAAGUUCAUUUUGCCCUAAAGAAAAUAAGGAUUUGUUCCCCCUUCGUCGAAUUUAAUUCAUUCUUUUGCGUCUAUUUGUAUUAGUCUUAAAUUAUGACUUGAAAUACUAGAAGGUGUGACUUUCUAAAUUGUGUAUAUAAAGUUAAG